RNAcentral lists this unclassified non-coding RNA (343 nucleotides) under soil metagenome. Its description in RNAcentral is "partial contains 5.8S ribosomal RNA, internal transcribed spacer 2, and large subunit ribosomal RNA". The stretch from base 1 to 120 matches the Rfam family "5.8S ribosomal RNA", at positions 35 to 154 of the family's 154-position model. The record is from RNAcentral.
GAUGAAGAACGUAGCGAAAUGCGAUAAGUAAUGCGAAUUGCAGAUUUCAGUGAAUCAUCGAAUCUUUGAACGCACAUUGCGCCCGCUAGUAUUCUGGCGGGCAUGCCUGUCCGAGCGUCAUUUCAACCCUCAAGCCCCCGGGCUUGGUGUUGGGGAUCGGCGAGCCUCCGCGCCCGCCGUCCCCUAAAUCUAGUGGCGGUCUCGCUGUAGCUUCCUCUGCGUAGUAGCACACCUCGCACUGGGAAACAGCGCGGCCACGCCGUUAAACCCCCAACUUCUGAACGUUUGACCUCGGAUCAGGUAGGAAUACCCGCUGAACUUAAGCAUAUCAAUAAGCGGAGGA